UACGGAGGGGACUAGCGUUGUUCGGAAUUACUGGGCGUAAAGCGCACGUAGGCGGGUUGUUAAGUCAGGGGUGAAAUCCUGGAGCUCAACUCCAGAACUGCCUUUGAUACUGGCAACCUAGAGACUGGAAGAGGUUAGUGGAAUUCCCAGUGUAGAGGUGAAAUUCGUAGAUAUUGGGAAGAACACCAGUGGCGAAGGCGGCUAACUGGUCCAGCACUGACGCUGAGGUGCGAAAGCGUGGGGAGCAAACAGG
This 253-nucleotide ribosomal RNA is filed under the name uncultured bacterium. RNAcentral's name for it is "partial 16S ribosomal RNA". It matches the Rfam family "Bacterial small subunit ribosomal RNA", at positions 524 to 776 of the family's 1533-position model. The record is from RNAcentral.